CCUACGGGUGGCAGCAGUGAGGAAUAUUGGUCAAUGGACGCAAGUCUGAACCAGCCAUGCCGCGUGCAGGAAGACGGCUCUAUGAGUUGUAAACUGCUUUUGUACGGGGGUAAACGCAGAUACGUGUACCUGUCUGAAAGUAUCGUAUGAAUAAGGAUCGGCUAACUCCGUGCCAGCAGCCGCGGUAAUACGGAGGAUCCGAGCGUUAUCCGGAUUUAUUGGGUUUAAAGGGUGCGUAGGCGGUCGGUUAAGUCAGAGGUGAAAUCCCGAGGCUCAACUGCGGAAUUGCAUCUGAUACUGUUCGUCUAGAGAGUAGUUGCGGUAGGCGGAAUGUAUGGUGUAGCGGUGAAAUGCUUAGAGAUCAUACAGAACACCGAUUGCGAAGGCAGCUUACCAAGCUGCUUCUGACGUUGAGGCACGAAAGCGUGGGGAGCAAACAGGAUUAGAUACCCCGGUAGUC
Molecule: ribosomal RNA, 460 nt
Filed under: uncultured bacterium
Lineage: Bacteria
Description: partial 16S ribosomal RNA
Rfam family: Bacterial small subunit ribosomal RNA
Source: RNAcentral